RNAcentral lists this ribosomal RNA (482 nucleotides) under uncultured bacterium. RNAcentral describes it as "bacterial SSU rRNA". It matches the Rfam family "Bacterial small subunit ribosomal RNA", at positions 30 to 507 of the family's 1533-position model. The record is from RNAcentral.
AUUGAACGCUGGCGGCAGGCCUAACACAUGCAAGUCGAGCGAGAAAGCCCUUCGGGGUGAGGUAGAGCGGCGGACGGGUGAGUAACGCGUAGGAAUCUACCCAGUAUGGGGGACAACUUGGGGAAACUCAAGCUAAUACCGCAUACGCCCUACGGGGGAAAGCGGGGGACCUUCGGGCCUCGUGCUAUUGGAUGAGCCUGCGUCGGAUUAGCUAGUUGGUGGGGUAAGAGCCUACCAAGGCGACGAUCCGUAGCUGGUCUGAGAGGAUGAUCAGCCACACUGGAACUGAGACACGGUCCAGACUCCUACGGGAGGCAGCAGUGGGGAAUAUUGCGCAAUGGGGGGCAACCCUGACGCAGCCAUGCCGCGUGUGUGAAGAAGGCCCUAGGGUUGUAAAGCACUUUCACUUGGGAAGAAAAGCUCACAGUUAAUACCUGUGAGCCGUGACAUUACCUUGAGAAGAAGCACCGGCUAACUCCGUG